Molecule: long non-coding RNA, 1949 nt
Organism: Rhododendron vialii
Lineage: Eukaryota; Viridiplantae; Streptophyta; Magnoliopsida; Ericales; Ericaceae
Exons: 3
Source: RefSeq, a predicted model, not a curated record
ACGCUGCAGCUAAUCCAGUUGCCAAUCUCUCUCUCUCUCUCUCUCUCUCUCUCUCUCUCUCUAUACAUAUUGUUGUAUUUCACUGAAUCUUAGUUCGCAAACGGGCGUCGAUCUUUUGCAAACUGAUUCUAGCCUCACGUUCUCAGAUCGUGAGGCUCAACCCAAGAGACUGCUGGUACUGGCUGGCUUGGAGCUAUAUUACUAAUCCUUCUUGUGCUUUUCAAUACCCUCCUUUAAAUGUGCGUACUGAGGUGUCUUCUGAAUCUGCUCCUCCCCUAUAUCAGUCCGCUGCACCCAUGAGCAAGUUAAAGACCCCCUGCUUUUUUAUUCCGAUGGUUUUUGCAACAAAGGUGACAGAUGCCCUUUUGUACAUGGACCACUUGAAGCUGGUACACCUGCUUGGAAAUCCUCAAAGACAGAUUCUGCAGUCACUGGUGCACCUUCCCUGGAAAAUAAGACAUCCACGGUAAGUGAUGCCAGAUCUGCACCAGUAGAAAUACUUCCUAAUCCAUCUGAAGCUGCUUCCAUGAGAGCAGCAGAACUACAGAUUAAGCCAAAACCAUAUGUCCACUUAUCAGCUCAUACUAACAUCGAGAAUCAAAGUACUUCUCUUGUUUUGUCCACAUUUGAGUGUCAAGAAGCUCCAGUAGUUCGGUCAGAAAUGCUGCUUCUAGGGACAGAUUUAGUACGAAGCAGAUCUCUUGUAUGCACUGAUCAGAGCUUGGAAGAGGAUGCAGUUGAUGGUUUUUUAGAGAGGGAGGAUCGUCUCCUGGUUUUUUAGAGAGGGAGGAUGCGCGCAGUUGAUGGUUUUUCAGAGCUCGGAAGAGGAUCCAGAAUACUUGCUUUCCGUUGAUGGAGAUAGAAGGGGACUAAAUGGUCAUUUCUCGGGGUAUGAUUAUGAAGACUUGGUUGAGGAUGAUCCUACGAAUCUUGAGGCACGAUUGUAUUAUAAGCCAUCCAGAUAUGAUUCUUCUGAUCAAUGAGAGAUUUGACUCCAUCAGAGAAUUUCACAAGCGCUCAAGGGAGAGAAUGUUGGAGCCAAUUUUCCUGCGGAAGAGGAAAUCAUUUCCUGCAAAUUUGGGAGCUGAUGACCAAAGAGGUGGGGAUCUCUGAAACCAUCUUAAGAAACACCGAGGGUUAUUGAUGGUCGACGAGUGACACGUUUCUCAAAAAGGAACAAUACUUCUUUUCUGGCUGAAAGAAUCCUAGAAAGGUCUCAAAAACUUGGGAAUCCGCGACUGUUUGGGAGAUUGAACUCUGAAGUGCAUAGUGAUAGAGUUGAUCAUUUAGCAAGUAUGGGAAUUUGUUAGGUCCAAACAGCCCCAGACAGCAAUAUGUGGAAAAAAGGCGCCUAGACAGAUCUUCUUUCAUCUGAAGUCUCUGGAAAACCAGUUUCAAGGAAGAAGAGAUCCACUGAGGGGAAGUCUAAUGUGUUUUCUGGACAGAAAACUCUUGAUGAAAUCAAAGAAGAGAAGAGAAAUGCCAAACCGAAUGGGAAUUCUUCCGGCAGGCCUGGGAAUUCAAGCAGAACUACAUCAGAAGAGUUUCAGGGUCCUAAAACCCUGAGUGAAAUCCUGAAGGAAAGAAAUAAGCUGGGUUCAGUAAUUGCAGCAGCUAAGCUACUUGAGCAUUAGGAAUCCAAGCCGAAUCAUGGUCAUCAAGUCGAAAGUGAGAACUGCUUUACAAAGUUAACACCGAUAAACAAGUAUUUGCUGCUUCUAGAAGAUGCUCACCAGUUUUCUAAAAUUUUUGAAUUUUUUGAGAUUAUGUUGUAGCUUCAAGAAAUUACUGAGUUAGCAUUACCGGUGCGAGAUAUUUGUUGCUUCCUGAUGUAUAGCUAGAUUUUUUAGGGACUUCAAUGCCUUUUCUCUGUAUGGAUUUUGGUCAUGGCCUGACUACCUAAAUGGUCCUUACAAAAUACAAGUUGUGUCAAUUUCGUCCCUGCAAAA